AGGGCUAGUUUUAUAGACAAAAGCGUAAAGGGUGUGAUCGGCCGUUUUAAUUAAAGUGGGUUUUAUAAUUUAAGAAGGUAAAUGGAAUUUUUUUGUAGCGGUGGAAUGUGUAAAUAAAAAAAAGAACUUUAGACGUGAAGGCUAUUUAUUUCUGAGAUUAUAGUGAGAUGGUUAAAACACGAGAGUAUGGGGAGCAAACAGGAUUAGAGACCCUGGUAGUCCAUACUGUAAAUAAUGAAGAGAAUGUGAAGCAAUCCUAAAAAGUAAGAAAUUUUCCGCUUGAGUAGUACGAUCGCAAGGUUAAAAGUCAAAAAACUUGGCUGUUCACUGUUUUAAUUAGAGGAGCGUGUCGUUUAAUUCGAUAGUCCGCGAGAGACCUCACCCAAACUUGAAUCCCCCAUUGACAGGUAUUGCA
This 415-nucleotide ribosomal RNA is filed under the name Pavona frondifera. RNAcentral's name for it is "partial small subunit ribosomal RNA". It matches the Rfam family "Bacterial small subunit ribosomal RNA", at positions 531 to 1005 of the family's 1533-position model. The record is from RNAcentral. Lineage: Eukaryota; Metazoa; Cnidaria; Anthozoa; Scleractinia; Agariciidae.